RNAcentral lists this ribosomal RNA (406 nucleotides) under uncultured bacterium. RNAcentral's name for it is "partial 16S ribosomal RNA". It matches the Rfam family "Bacterial small subunit ribosomal RNA", at positions 28 to 526 of the family's 1533-position model. The record is from RNAcentral.
GAUGAACGCUAGCUACAGGCUUAACACAUGCAAGUCGAGGGACCGGCGCACGGGUGAGUAACACGUAUCCAACCUGCCCUUUACUCGGGGAUAGCCUUUCGAAAGAAAGAUUAAUACCCGAUAUAAAGAAUGGGGAUGCGUUCCAUUAGGUUGUUGGUGAGGUAACGGCUCAACAAGCCUUAGGUGGAUAGGGGGUCUGAGAGUAAGGUCCCCCACAUUGGAACUGAGCCACGUUCCAAACGUCUACGGGAGGCAGCAGGGAGGAAGAUGUGUCAAUGGGCGCUAGCCUGAACCAUCCAAGUAGCGUGAAGGAUGAAGGCUUAUGGGUCGUAAACUUCUUUUAGAUAAGAAUAUGUAUUAUAUGAAUAAGGAUCGGCUAACUCCGUGCCAGCCGCCGCGGUAAUAC